This 1377-nucleotide ribosomal RNA is filed under the name Corollospora portsaidica. RNAcentral's name for it is "LSU rRNA". It matches the Rfam family "Eukaryotic large subunit ribosomal RNA", at positions 73 to 1415 of the family's 3401-position model. Lineage: Eukaryota; Fungi; Ascomycota; Sordariomycetes; Microascales; Halosphaeriaceae. The record is from RNAcentral.
GAUUGCCUCAGUAACGGCGAGUGAAGCGGCAACAGCUCAAAUUUGAAAUCUGGCCUCCUUGCGGGGUCCGAGUUGUAGUUUGCAGAGGAUGCUUUGGGCAAGGCGCCUUCCGAGUGCCCUGGAACGGGACGCCGCAGAGGGUGAGAGCCCCCUACGGUUGGUGGCCGAGCCUGUGUAAAGCUCCCUCGACGAGUCGAGUAGUUUGGGAAUGCUGCUCUAAAUGGGAGGUACACCCCUUCUAAAGCUAAAUACCCGCCAGAGACCGAUAGCGCACAAGUAGAGUGAUCGAAAGAUGAAAAGCACUUUGAAAAGAGAGUUAAACAGCACGUGAAAUUGUUGAAAGGGAAGCGCUUGUGGCCAGACUCGGGCCCGGUGGCUCAGCCGUCCCUCGCGGGCGGUGCACUCUGCCGGGCCUGGGCCAGCAUCAGCUUGUGGCGGGGGAGAAAGGCGGUGGGAACGUGGCUCUUCGGAGUGUUAUAGCCCGCCGUCAUGCCCCGCCGCGGGCUGAGGUUCGCGCUCCGCAAGGAUGCUGGCGUAAUGGCCACCAGCGACCCGUCUUGAAACACGGACCAAGGAGUCGUCCUAGCAUGCGAGUGUUCGGGUGCAAAGCCCCUACGCGGAAUGAAAGUGAACGUAGGUGGGAGCCUCUGGCGCACCACCGACCGAUCCUGAUGUUCUCGGAUGGAUUUGAGUAAGAGCAUGCUGGGCCGGACCCGAAAGAAGGUGAACUAUGCUUGGAUAGGGCAAAGCCAGAGGAAACUCUGGUGGAGGCUCGCAGCGGUUCUGACGUGCAAAUCGAUCGUCAAAUCUGAGCAUGGGGGCGAAAGUGAGUGCCAACCCGGGCUUUUGCAUACAUACGUACAGUGGACGCAGUGCUAACGUUCAGCAGGACUAAUCGAACCUUCUAGUAGCUGGUUUCCGCCGAAGUUUCCCUCAGGAUAGCAGUGUUGAGCUUCAGUUUUAUGAGGUAAAGCGAAUGAUUAGGGACUCGGGGGCGCUAUUUAGCCUUCAUCCAUUCUCAAACUUUAAAUAUGUAAGAAGCCCUCGUUACUUCAGUGAACGUGGGCAUUCGAAUGUAUCAACACUAGUGGGCCAUUUUUGGUAAGCAGAACUGGCGAUGCGGGAUGAACCGAUCGCGAGGUUAAGGUGCCGGAGUGGACGCUCAUCAGACACCACAAAAGGUGUUAUCACAUCUUGACAGCAGGACGGUGGCCAUGGAAGUCGGAAUCCGCUAAGGACUGUGUAACAACUCACCUGCCGAAUGUGAUAGCCCUGAAAAUGGAUGGCGCUCAAGCGUCCCACCCAUACCUCGCCUUCAGGGUAGGAACGAUGCCCUGAAGAGUAGGCGGACGUGGGGGUCCGUGACGAAGGCCAGGG